This 409-nucleotide ribosomal RNA is filed under the name uncultured Marmoricola sp. Its description in RNAcentral is "bacterial SSU rRNA". It matches the Rfam family "Bacterial small subunit ribosomal RNA", at positions 355 to 776 of the family's 1533-position model. Lineage: Bacteria; Bacillati; Actinomycetota; Actinomycetes; Propionibacteriales; Nocardioidaceae. The record is from RNAcentral.
UGGGGAAUAUUGGACAAUGGGCGAAAGCCUGAUCCAGCAACGCCGCGUGAGGGAUGACGGCCUUCGGGUUGUAAACCUCUUUCAGUAGGGACGAAGCGCAAGUGACGGUACCUACAGAAGAAGCACCGGCCAACUACGUGCCAGCAGCCGCGGUAAUACGUAGGGUGCGAGCGUUGUCCGGAAUUAUUGGGCGUAAAGGGCUCGUAGGCGGUUUGUCACGUCGGGAGUGAAAACUCAGGGCUUAACCCUGAGCCUGCUUCUGAUACGGGCAGACUAGAGGUAUGCAGGGGAGAACGGAAUUCCUGGUGUAGCGGUGAAAUGCGCAGAUAUCAGGAGGAACACCGGUGGCGAAGGCGGUUCUCUGGGCAUUACCUGACGCUGAGGAGCGAAAGUGUGGGGAGCGAACAGG